GCCCUCGUUGUCUAAUGGCUAUGACGUCAGACUUCUACCAAGAGGGUACAUCUGGAGGUUGUGGGUUCGAGUCCCACCGGGGGUA
Non-coding RNA from Cristinia sonorae, 85 nucleotides. NCBI's taxonomy places the organism in Eukaryota, Fungi, Basidiomycota, Agaricomycetes, Agaricales, Stephanosporaceae. The record is from the annotation of a GenBank genome assembly.